UACUACUUACUCGAAUGAUUUUGGCUGUAAAUGUGCCUCAGAUUUUGACUAAAACUAGGAGCAGGCCUGAGAGAAAACUUUUCACAUGAAGCUUCUCAUUUCAGUAACUAAGAUCCAUGGUUUGUUAUAAAUGCACAUGUUCAGUUUUAAAGGAUUUUCAAAGGACAAAUCACAGAUGAGCCAAAGCUGUUUGGAGUUUAAACUUCCCUUAGGCGCUUUCAGGCCUCCGCCAUGUGUGACAUCGCAGGACAUUCCUCCCAGCAGUUUCCUGGCUUUUAUAGUUCAGCCUUCAUCACCAUCCACAACACACACUUCCUUCCUCUGUGUCUGUGUGUAUGCGGGCAUUCCCGCUUCCCGAGUUCCACGAAUGCUGCUGUUUUGUGCCAAGGCUGCAUCCCAAAACGCCUUUCAUCAGACAAGAAGGGACCGCAAAGCUGAUAAGAAACACCCAACAACAAACUGUGUUUGCAGAGUGAAAUGAAUUUCCUAGCUUCAUUUAUCCCCUCACCCUACCUGCAAAAGACGGAACCCCUAACCACUGUGGAGUAUGAUCUCAUUGUGCUGAAAUCAACAAUAGUCCCAUGAGCACCACAGGCACCGGGGGACAUCAGCGACGGAGACUGGAUGACAGAACCUCAUCCACCUCCCACACUCAUUCUUUCCCUCCGUCACUCCUUCCCUGCGCCCACUUUUUUCCAUAUACACAUUUAAAAUCACUGAUGACCUCACACAGCUACAUAAUUCUAUUGCUAAAAUAUUAUUGUGUGUUUAUAUUUGAUCACUGAAACCUGAAAUAACAUAUUUUUAACAAUAACACAAUAUUUUUUUGGCCACUUGGGGGCAGCGUAAACAAGCUGUGAAUACAACAGUGACAUAUCAUCACCUCAUCAGUUGAUAUGAUAAACUUGUUAGCAAACAGUUGCCUAGUUACACAUUGAGCAGACAUGAAGCAACAUUAGAAUCCAAUAUUCCCUUUCCUUUCAGCUCUGUUUUUGGUCUCUACCAACUCCUGUGGGAAAUAUCAGGCUCUCACUAUGUUCACCAGCUAGUUGCCACCUGUGUCUGUCUGUCGUUUUUUUUUUUUUUUUUUUUUACUGAAACAGCUGCCUGCUGCAAUGGAAACAAUGCUAUUAGCAGCCAGAUUUAAUCAAAACAGUAAACAGAAAGAGGGAACUGCAGAGUCAUAUGAUAAUUCUCUGUGGGUGUGUCACUAUGAGCGACCCCUUUUACAUUACACAUAGCACUUUGAUCCAUUGUUAAUAUAAAAACAUUAAUAAUAGCAUCUUUAAAGUUGUAUUUUUACAGUCGCUAAACUACCAAAAAACUACCGAAACUAAUAAUAACUACAUACAAAAACUCUUAUCUCAUAGGGACUCUUGUGCACACAACAGGCAUACAGGCACAUACCAUGCUUCAUGUCCACAUUCAGUACAUGCACACAUGCUGGCAGCCAUGCAAACCACAUAUUUACAUGUUCAGAAACAUAUACUGUACAUAUGUCAACUGGACAGUUUAUACAGACGCUUGUAAACCCACAUACAAGAUUGACCAGAAACAUAAGGGUCCAGGAUCUUUCCCACACACACACUUUAUCUUAUCCAAUGACCUAAUACUCGUGCUGGAGGGAAAGAAAACAUAGAAAGAGUGAGGUCUGUAUUUACCCUAAGAUCACCCCUCAAUUGACAUAAACACACUCAUACACAUACUCCCUACUGGCAAGCAGCCUGCUACAUGGAUUCUACAACAGAUUCUGUGUGUGUUCGUCUCACUUUGUAGCCAAAUUACCUUUUUUUCUUGACUUGCCUACAUGCCUCGUUACCUCUCUCUUUUCUCCUUCACUUUCUGUGUUUUCUGUUAAUUCACACUCUUUUCCUCUCUCACGUUUGAUACCUCUCUUAAAGGAAUAGUUCAACAUUUAGGGAAAUACACUGAUUCACUUUCUUUCCAAGAAUUAAAUGAGAAGAUUGAUAUCAAUCUCGCAUCUGUGAAUUGACUCCUACUUGACGCACAGACUUUAUGCAUUAUACCCCCACCACACGCAGCCUCUAAAGCAUUGUAUAUGUUUAUGACAUUGUACAUGUUUAUGUCUAUUUUUAUGUGUAUGCCUUUCCACAGAUGUGUGGCCACAAAUGUGUGUGGCUAUGACUCUAUACUGUAUGUGUUUGGCUGUGAUCCAAGCACAGCGCACACUACAUUUAAAUCAAGUGCAUAGCACCUCAAACCACUGCAGCUAAAUGUAGCUGCAUUACAUGUGCAGCUGAUAAGCAACACACAAUUCUCUGAA
Molecule: long non-coding RNA, 2284 nt
Organism: Siniperca chuatsi (mandarin fish)
Lineage: Eukaryota; Metazoa; Chordata; Actinopteri; Centrarchiformes; Sinipercidae
Exons: 5
Source: RefSeq, a predicted model, not a curated record